UACAGCCAUAUCAUAUUUAUUUACUAGUUCCCGUACGAUCACCAAAGUUAAGCAACGUCGAGCCAGGUCAGUACGUAGAUGGGUGACCUGUUU
Non-coding RNA from Acanthosepion pharaonis, 93 nucleotides. Lineage: Eukaryota; Metazoa; Mollusca; Cephalopoda; Sepiida; Sepiidae. The record is from the annotation of a GenBank genome assembly.